Molecule: small nuclear RNA, 20 nt
Filed under: Arabidopsis thaliana (thale cress)
Lineage: Eukaryota; Viridiplantae; Streptophyta; Magnoliopsida; Brassicales; Brassicaceae
Description: snRNA_04564
Source: RNAcentral
UGUUACACACACUGAAGCUU